This is a non-coding RNA of Pelobates cultripes (western spadefoot toad), 322 nucleotides long. The record is from the annotation of a GenBank genome assembly. NCBI's taxonomy places the organism in Eukaryota, Metazoa, Chordata, Amphibia, Anura, Pelobatidae.
AGAUGAAUGUGACAACAAGUUAAGGCCUUGCCUACGUCAACCUUACUUUUAGUCCAAAUAAAGAUUAUAGAUGUCUAGGUUAUGACAACAGACUGAUAAGAGUUUUUUUCCUUUCAUUUUCACAUAUGAACUGCUUUUUUAAGCUGUAUAAUUAAUACAUAAAUGACCAAUAGUAAUUAUAAAUGCUUUACUAUAAUUAAUGACCAAUGCUGGACAGAGACUUCCGGACCAACUCGGGAGGUGACAUAUACUAAAAGAUUACCUGUACAAUCAGGAAGCAUAUAUUCAUUUAAUUCUAUAUACUCUGUUUUAUUAAUGUAUU